Molecule: transfer RNA, 75 nt
Filed under: Pseudomonadota bacterium
Lineage: Bacteria; Pseudomonadati; Pseudomonadota
Description: tRNA-Phe
Rfam family: tRNA
About the family: Transfer RNA (tRNA) molecules are approximately 80 nucleotides in length. Their secondary structure includes four short double-helical elements and three loops (D, anti-codon, and T loops). Further hydrogen bonds mediate the characteristic L-shaped molecular structure. tRNAs have two regions of fundamental functional importance: the anti-codon, which is responsible for specific mRNA codon recognition, and the 3' end, to which the tRNAs corresponding amino acid is attached (by aminoacyl-tRNA synthetases). tRNAs cope with the degeneracy of the genetic code in two manners: having more than one tRNA (with a specific anti-codon) for a particular amino acid; and 'wobble' base-pairing, i.e. permitting non-standard base-pairing at the 3rd anti-codon position.
Source: RNAcentral
GCCUGGGUAGCUCAGUGGUAGAGCAGACGACUGAAAAUCGUCGUGUCGGUGGUUCGACUCCGCCCCUGGGCACCA